This 675-nucleotide long non-coding RNA is filed under the name Mytilus galloprovincialis (Mediterranean mussel). Lineage: Eukaryota; Metazoa; Mollusca; Bivalvia; Mytilida; Mytilidae. The record is from RNAcentral.
AACAUAUUAGAACACACCCGUGAUAUCGCGGGUCCGUGACUGAAUUAAAGUAUAUAACUAUGCGCAAGCAUUAUUUUAGUAUUAGUAUUGUCAUCUGAUAAAGUCAUGCCGAUUAUAAGAUACACAGUUUUCUCUGCUUUCAAAUCUUUCUGUUUGAACCCGUCGAACUGGAACUUAUCAAUUAUUGGUAAUAUUAAUUAUUUGGAAAACAAAAGGUCCUGGCAUGGAGUAUUUUUUAAUCAACAGCAUUGUCCUAUAUUAGUUAUAAAUAAAGUUGAAUUCUUUGAUUCGCUGUUUUACGUCAUGCCCGCUAACAAAUUGAAAACUGUACCUAUACGCCUUACUUUUAGUCCAGAUUUUUAGUAUUCAUAUUGUUAUCUUAGAAAGUCUUACUGAUUAAAAUACAACAAUAGGUAACAAUUCGACAAUUUAGUAGUGUCAACCCUGUGAUUAUGACCCGUGUAUAUAGCAUAUUAAUCCUGAAUACACCGUUUGUUGGUGCGCCUGUCAGAUGCGGAACGUACAGAUAAGGUAAUAGGUAACAGGUGAAUAUACUAUUGGUAUCGGUAUCGGACUCGACCCGGAACUUCUUAAUUAUUGGCAAUAGUAAUUACGUGGAAAACAAAAGGGCCUGGAGUGGUGUAAUUUUUAAUCUACACCUUAGUACUAUAUUUA